RNAcentral lists this ribosomal RNA (395 nucleotides) under uncultured bacterium. Its description in RNAcentral is "bacterial SSU rRNA". It matches the Rfam family "Bacterial small subunit ribosomal RNA", at positions 29 to 429 of the family's 1533-position model. The record is from RNAcentral.
AUUGAACGCUGGCGGCAUGCCUUACACAUGCAAGUCGAACGGUAACGCGGGGGCAACCCUGGCGACGAGUGGCGAACGGGUGAGUAAUACAUCGGAACGUACCCAGUAGUGGGGGAUAGCUCGGCGAAAGCCGGAUUAAUACCGCAUACGACCUAUGGGUGAAAGCGGGGGAUCGCAAGACCUCGCGCUAUUGGAGCGGCCGAUGUCGGAUUAGCUAGUUGGUGAGGUAAAGGCUCACCAAGGCUACGAUCCGUAGCUGGUCUGAGAGGACGACCAGCCACACUGGGACUGAGACACGGCCCAGACUCCUACGGGAGGCAGCAGUGGGGAAUUUUGGACAAUGGGCGCAAGCCUGAUCCAGCCAUGCCGCGUGUGUGAAGAAGGCCUGGUGUAAG